CAUGACAGCAUAACAAUUGAAUAUACAAAAUAUAUACAUGUAGCAAGAUUCUUCUCCAUAGUUGAAGGAAAUUAAAGCUGUGAAAAUGGGGUGAUGAACUACUCUUCCUUUCAAGUUGCAUUAAAUAAUAUGAAGAGUUUUUCUUUUUUUCCUUCUCUCCCCAAGUAAGUAUUCAUCAUCUUCAUGUUCUCUCCCUCUCUAUAUAAAUUUUCUGAUUCCUAGCAGAUGGAAACUCAACUGCUUAGACUCGUUCUUCUCUCCUGCUGACAACUUGAGUAAAUGAUCAUUUUCUUCAUUCAAUCUUUUGAUUUUUCAAAUACUGUUCAAUCUUCCAUGUUUAGACAUCUUGGGUAAGCAGGAAUUUUAAAAUAAAGGUAAGGGAGAAGAAGAAGAAGAAGAAUUCAUUUUGGUGAAUGACUUCUGAUAUUUCCCCAUUCAUGAAAAUAUAGAUCUAUGAUCUAUAAUCACUUUGACUCGGAAAUUCAAAUAUGUUCUUUUCUUUAAUACUUGACUGACUGAUUUAGGGUUAUUAGUUUUAGAUUGAAUUUGCCUUUUUUUGGGUAAUGCUUAUUAAAAAUUAAAUUCUAACCCUAAAUCUUUGGAUUCUUAA
RNAcentral lists this long non-coding RNA (610 nucleotides) under Manihot esculenta (cassava). Its description in RNAcentral is "long non-coding RNA (MESC_LNC006942)". Lineage: Eukaryota; Viridiplantae; Streptophyta; Magnoliopsida; Malpighiales; Euphorbiaceae. The record is from RNAcentral.